This 597-nucleotide ribosomal RNA is filed under the name Trichosporon asahii. Its description in RNAcentral is "eukaryotic LSU rRNA". It matches the Rfam family "Eukaryotic large subunit ribosomal RNA", at positions 46 to 632 of the family's 3401-position model. The record is from RNAcentral. Lineage: Eukaryota; Fungi; Basidiomycota; Tremellomycetes; Trichosporonales; Trichosporonaceae.
CAUAGCGGAGGAAAAGAAACUAACAAGGAUUCCCCUAGUAACGGCGAGUGAAGCGGGAAGAGCUCAAAUUUGAAAUCUGGCAGUCUUCGAUUGUCCGAGUUGUAAUCUAUAGAGGCGUUUUCCGUGCCGGACCGUGUCCAAGUCUCCUGGAAAGGAGUAUCAAAGAGGGUGAUAAUCCCGUACUUAACACGACCACCGGUGCUCUGUGAUACGUCUUCUACGAGUCGAGUUGUUUGGGAAUGCAGCUCAAAAUGGGUGGUGAAUUCCAUCUAAAGCUAAAUAUUGGCGAGAGACCGAUAGCGAACAAGUACCGUGAGGGAAAGAUGAAAAGCACUUUGGAAAGAGAGUUAAACAGUACGUGAAAUUGUUGAAAGGGAAACGAUUGAAGUCAGUCGUGUUCUUUGGAUUCAGCCAGUUCUGCUGGUCUACUUCCUUGGAACGGGUCAACAUCAGUUUUGUCCGGUGGAUAAAGGUAGUAGGAAUGUGACUUCUCCGGAAGUGUUAUAGCCUAUUAUCACAUACACUGGGUGAGACUGAGGACUGCAGCUCGCCUUUAUGGCCGGCCUUCGGGCACGUUCGAGCUUAGGAUGUUGACAU